GCAGUGAUGCACGACUGGCGGAAGCAGACAUCGGACAGAUGUUCUGUGUAGGGCAACCUACAGGGAGUGUAUUUUAUACGGAUUAGCCGACCGCCUGGGCAGCAUUA
This 107-nucleotide non-coding RNA is filed under the name [Bacteroides] pectinophilus. RNAcentral's name for it is "Bacteroides pectinophilus ZTP sequence". It matches the Rfam family "ZMP/ZTP riboswitch aptamer (pfl RNA motif)". Rfam says of the family: Previously known as pfl RNA. ZMP is also known as AICAR. Lineage: Bacteria; Bacillati; Bacillota; Clostridia; Eubacteriales. The record is from RNAcentral. RNAcentral also lists the same sequence under 1 other name.